CGCACAUCAGCUGACUCUUCCAAAGAUAACACCCACUUUCCUACGAGCUGUUGAAAGGGUGACUUGUAUCCCUGUACCCGCAUUGUAUUACGAAGUGAACUCUGACAUUCGAAGAUGGUCCAGAAGAUCGCGGUAGAGGGUUUUGACGCCUUCGUGGAGGCCGUGGAACCCUUUAAAGCCUCGGGAAAGCCGGUCUUCGUGCUAUUUUCAGGCUCGAAGACAUCGGGCGGCGUGAGUUGGUGCCCCGACUGUGUGACAGCCGAGCCCGUGGUCAAGGGCGCCGUGGAUAAAGCAGCACCUGAGGACGCCGUCUUCAUCUAUGUUGGCGUCGGAGGCAGGGACUUCUGGAAGGACCCCAACUGUGUCUUCCGGACAGAUGCUAGGACCAAGUUGAAGAGCGUGCCCACGUUGAUGAAGUACGGGACGGCGCAAAGACUCGAGGAGGAGCAGUGCGCCAAGGCCGACAUGGUUGAAAUGCUCUUUGAAGAUGCUUAGGGAACACAUGUAUAUGGAUGCCCAACAAAAGAAGACAUAUUGCUGAUUCUUGAAAACCAUAUUAAUGAUUAUAAGACCAAUGAUUUAUGAACAAACCAGCUUUGUGAUUAGUUUUAAUUUUUGAUCAAGACUAGAACAGGAAUAUCUUUAAUACUUGUUUCUCUUACUUAAAGAUUAUAUAGAUUUGAUUUUUCAGUUACACUUCUUAGAAUGUUAAUUGUACAUUCAUUUACCAAUUACUUUUGGAUUACAGUUACAAUUAAUGAUUACUUGUUUGAAAUGUGUACCAUUUUUUUAGUCACCUAUGAUACAUACUGACAAAUAUUUGUAUCAGGAGAGAUAAGCAUGGUAACACUUGGUUGCUUUCAUAUUUUGUUGUAGAUGUAAGAUAUCUUUUGCCAAUGGUUAAUGAAUUUUGUAUAGAGUUCAGAUGAGUUUCAUACUCAAAAAGAAUUUCAACAAUAACUCCAUGUAUAUCUUCCACUUUGGAUAAUAAUAUUGAUAGAA
Molecule: non-coding RNA, 1002 nt
Organism: Penaeus vannamei (Pacific white shrimp)
Lineage: Eukaryota; Metazoa; Arthropoda; Malacostraca; Decapoda; Penaeidae
Source: RefSeq, a predicted model, not a curated record